AGCGAACGCUGGCGGUAGGCCUAACACAUGCAAGUCGAACGGCAGCACAGAGGAGCUUGCUCCUUGGGUGGCGAGUGGCGGACGGGUGAGGAAUACAUCGGAAUCUACUCUGUCGUGGGGGAUAACGUAGGGAAACUUACGCUAAUACCGCAUACGACCUACGGGUGAAAGCAGGGGAUCUUCGGACCUUGCGCGAUUGAAGGAGCCGAUGUCGGAUUAGCUAGUUGGCGGGGUAAAGGCCCACCAAGGCGACGAUCCGUAGCUGGUCUGAGAGUAUGAUCAGCCACACUGGACCUGAGACACGGUCCAGACUCCUACGGGAAGCAGCAGUGGGCAAUAGUGGACAAUGGGCGCAAGCUUGAUCCAGCCAUACCGCGUGGGUGAAGAAGGCAUUCGGGUUGUAAAGCCCUUUUGUUGGGAAAGACAUCCAUCUGGUUAAUACCCGGGUGGGAUGACGGUACCCAAAGAAUAAGCACCGGCUAACUUCGUGCCAGCCGCCGCCGUAA
This 506-nucleotide ribosomal RNA is filed under the name uncultured bacterium. Its description in RNAcentral is "partial 16S ribosomal RNA". It matches the Rfam family "Bacterial small subunit ribosomal RNA", at positions 29 to 523 of the family's 1533-position model. The record is from RNAcentral.